RNAcentral lists this ribosomal RNA (403 nucleotides) under uncultured bacterium. Its description in RNAcentral is "partial 16S ribosomal RNA". It matches the Rfam family "Bacterial small subunit ribosomal RNA", at positions 30 to 526 of the family's 1533-position model. The record is from RNAcentral.
AUUGAACGCUGGCGGCAGGCCUAACACAUGCAAGUCGCGCGAGCGGCGGACGGGUGAGUAAUGUAUGGGGACUGCCCGAUAGAGGGGGAUAACUACUGGAGACGGUGGCUAAUAACGCAUACUAUCGGAUAACCCAUAUGGGAUUAGCUAGUAGGUGGGGUAAAGGCUCACCUAGGCGGCGAUCGCUAGCUGGUCUGCGAGGAUGAUAAGCCACACUGGGACGUAGACACGGCCCAGACUCCUACGGAGUCAGCAGUGGGGAGUAUUGCACAAUGGGCGCAAGCCUGAAGCAGCCAUGCCGCGUGUAGGAAGAAGGCCUUAGGGUUGUAAAGUACUUUCAGCGGGGAGGCGUUACCCGCAGAAGAAGCACCGGCUAACUCCGUGCCAGCAGCCGCGGUAAUUC